This 754-nucleotide ribosomal RNA is filed under the name uncultured bacterium. RNAcentral describes it as "bacterial SSU rRNA". It matches the Rfam family "Bacterial small subunit ribosomal RNA", at positions 93 to 842 of the family's 1533-position model. The record is from RNAcentral.
UAGCGGCGGACGGGUGAGUAAUGCUUAGGAAUCUGCCUAUUAGUGGGGGACAACAUUCCGAAAGGAAUGCUAAUACCGCAUACGCCCUACGGGGGAAAGCAGGGGAUCUUCGGACCUUGCGCUAAUAGAUGAGCCUAAGUCAGAUUAGCUAGUUGGUGGGGUAAAGGCCUACCAAGGCGACGAUCUGUAGCGGGUCUGAGAGGAUGAUCCGCCACACUGGGACUGAGACACGGCCCAGACUCCUACGGGAGGCAGCAGUGGGGAAUAUUGGACAAUGGGCGCAAGCCUGAUCCAGCCAUGCCGCGUGUGUGAAGAAGGCCUUUUGGUUGUAAAGCACUUUAAGCGAGGAGGAGGCUACUUGGAUUAAUACUCUAGGAUAGUGGACGUUACUCGCAGAAUAAGCACCGGCUAACUCUGUGCCAGCAGCCGCGGUAAUACAGAGGGUGCGAGCGUUAGUCGGAUUACUGGGCGUAAAGCGUGCGUGGGCGGCUUCUUAAGUCGGAUGUGAAAUCCCUGAGCUUAACUUAGGAAUUGCAUUCGAUACUGGGAAGCUAGAGUAUGGGAGAGGAUGGUAGAAUUCCAGGUGUAGCGGUGAAAUGCGUAGAGAUCUGGAGGAAUACCGAUGGCGAAGGCAGCCAUCUGGCCUAAUACUGACGCUGAGGUACGAAAGCAUGGGGGAGCAAACAGGAUUAGAUACCCUGGUAGUCCAUGCCGUAAACGAUGUCUACUAGCCGUUGGGGCCUUUGAGGCUUUA